RNAcentral lists this ribosomal RNA (230 nucleotides) under uncultured bacterium. RNAcentral describes it as "partial 16S ribosomal RNA". It matches the Rfam family "Bacterial small subunit ribosomal RNA", at positions 568 to 796 of the family's 1533-position model. The record is from RNAcentral.
UGCGUAGGCGGACUAAUAAGUCAGUGGUGAAAUCUCUCGGCUCAACCGGGAAACUGCCAUUGAUACUGUUAGUCUUGAGUUCGGUUGAGGUAGGCGGAAUGUGUAAUGUAGCGGUGAAAUGCUUAGAUAUUACACAGAACACCAAUUGCGUAGGCAGCUUACUAGACCGACACUGACGCUGAGGCACGAAAGCGUGGGGAGCGAACAGGAUUAGAUACCCCUGGUAGUCC